Molecule: ribosomal RNA, 1568 nt
Filed under: Gekko swinhonis (Peking gecko)
Lineage: Eukaryota; Metazoa; Chordata; Lepidosauria; Squamata; Gekkonidae
Description: 16S ribosomal RNA
Rfam family: Bacterial large subunit ribosomal RNA
Source: RNAcentral
GCUGAACCUUAGCCUGCACACCAUACCAUAAAUUCAAUAUUUUAAAAACUAAACCAUUUAUCACAUUUAGUAUAUGAGAUAGAACCCUGCCACCAGCGCAAUAGCUAAUAAUUGUACCGCAAGGGAACAUUGAAAGACCAACUAGAUCAACCAAAGCAAAAUACAGCAGGACUAACUCCCCGUACCUUCUGCAUCAUGGUUUAGCAAGCAGCUUGCUGAUAAAGAGCCCUGUAUCUGCCACCCCGAAACCAGACGAGCUACCUAAAAGCAAUUGUUAGAAUGAACCCAUCCCUGUAGCAAAAGGGCGGGAAGACUUUUAGGUAGAGGCGAAAUACCAAUCGAGUCCGGUGAUAGCUGGUUGCUCACUAAAUGAACCUCAGUUCAACUCUAGCUAUAAUAACAAACAACGAAUUUUUUAUACCCCUCCUAGAAGAUAUACAAUAAAGGUACAGCUUUAUUGUAAUUGGCUACAACCAAAAUUAGCGGGACUAGAAAACCCCACCAAUCAGUGGGCCCUUAAGCUGCCAACAACAAUUAAUGCGUCAAAGCACAUAAUACACAAAUACAACAAAAGCAUUCAACCCCCUAACCCCCCACCGAGCCAUCCCAUACACACCUGGGAGAGCCCCUGCUAAAACUAGUAAUACGAUAUAACCUCUCCUCGCACUACCAUGCACCAACACGGACAAACCAUUGGCAAUUAACAGACUACAAACAGCAAUAUAAAACAAUGCUAGAGCACCUACCACAAACACUGUCACACCAACACAGGCGUGCGCAUAGGAAUGAUAAAAAGCCUUAGAGGGAACUCGGCUAACCUCGCCCCAACUGUUUACCAAAAACAUAGCCUUUAGCUUCACAAGUAUUAAAGGUCCUGCCUGCCCAGUGAGUAAUUUAACGGCCGCGGUAUCAUAACCGUGCAAAGGUAGCGUAAUCAUUUGUCCCUUAAAUAGGGACCUGUAUGAACGGCUCAAUGAGGGCAAACCUGUCCCCUAAGACCAGUCAAUGAAACUGAUCUGCCAGUACAAAAGCUGGCAUAUAACCACAAGACGAGAAGACCCUGUGGAGCUUUAAACUCAAACACUACUAAGCCCGCCACCCAUACCCUAAGUAUGACAUGACCUAAAAUAGUGUUAGUUUUAAGUUGGGGCGACUACGGAGCAAAAAACCCCCUCCAUGACACAGGCCAACACCAUCCAAGACCUACGGGUCAACGAAAAACACCAUAGAUCCAGUAAACACUGAGCAGCGAACCAAGUUACCCCAGGGAUAACAGCGCCAUCCCCCUAAAGAGUCCAUAUCGCUAGGGGGGCUUACGACCUCGAUGUUGGAUCAGGACUCCCAAGUGGUGCAGCCGCUACUAAAGGUUCGUUUGUUCAACGAUUAAUGUCCUACGUGAUCUGAGUUCAGACCGGAGAAAUCCAGGUCGGUUUCUAUCUAUGUCACAGUCUCUUCAGUACGAAAGGACCAACGAGACCAACGCCCAUACUACCCAGCACGCGUUACAAGUCCACACUGAACACAUAUAAAGUCUGACAGCCCAUGCGGCCCCAGACUAGGGUAACGUU